Molecule: transfer RNA, 123 nt
Filed under: Bipolaris sorokiniana ND90Pr
Lineage: Eukaryota; Fungi; Ascomycota; Dothideomycetes; Pleosporales; Pleosporaceae
Description: tRNA-Glu (CTC) (tRNA-Glu-CTC-2-1)
Rfam family: tRNA
About the family: Transfer RNA (tRNA) molecules are approximately 80 nucleotides in length. Their secondary structure includes four short double-helical elements and three loops (D, anti-codon, and T loops). Further hydrogen bonds mediate the characteristic L-shaped molecular structure. tRNAs have two regions of fundamental functional importance: the anti-codon, which is responsible for specific mRNA codon recognition, and the 3' end, to which the tRNAs corresponding amino acid is attached (by aminoacyl-tRNA synthetases). tRNAs cope with the degeneracy of the genetic code in two manners: having more than one tRNA (with a specific anti-codon) for a particular amino acid; and 'wobble' base-pairing, i.e. permitting non-standard base-pairing at the 3rd anti-codon position.
Source: RNAcentral
UCCGAUAUGGUCUAGUGGCUAGGAUUUGCCGCUCUCACCGGCAAGGCCCGGGUAAGUUCAAUCACAACAACUCCUCUAUCACCUCAUUCUAAUCCAACUCAGGUUCGAUUCCCGGUGUCGGAA